UGUAAAUAGGAGUUAAGAACCCCUGCUGAACCUGAGGCAUGGUUAACAUUACGGUAACUCAAUAUGACAUUAAGCAAUCUCAUGGAUUAAGGCUGAGAUUAUUCUUGACUAGUUACAGAGAUGAACAAAACUCCUGAAUAGUAAUGAUAGAACAAAAGUUCGUCAAAAUGUGAAGUUCCAGGUCACCUGCAAUUCUGUGACAAAGCUGCAUGUCCUUAAGUGCAAAAAAUUCUUCCAAUGUUAUAAUUACAGUAAGGUAAAUGUUUAUUUCUUUCAUUUCAUAGUUAUCUACUUAAUGUCAUGUUCCCUCU
Long non-coding RNA from Numida meleagris (helmeted guineafowl), 311 nucleotides. RefSeq lists it as uncharacterized. The transcript is spliced from 3 exons. NCBI's taxonomy places the organism in Eukaryota, Metazoa, Chordata, Aves, Galliformes, Numididae. The record is from RefSeq and is a predicted model, not a curated record.